RNAcentral lists this ribosomal RNA (508 nucleotides) under uncultured archaeon. Its description in RNAcentral is "bacterial SSU rRNA". It matches the Rfam family "Bacterial small subunit ribosomal RNA", at positions 899 to 1397 of the family's 1533-position model. The record is from RNAcentral.
ACUCAAAUGAAUUGACGGGGGCUCACACAAGCGGUGGAGCAUGUGGAUUAAUUCGAAGCAACGCGCAGAACCUUACCUGGGUUUGACAUGCACGGAUGGGCUCCUGGAAACAGGGUGUUCUGCCCGCAAGGGUGAAACGUGCACAGGUGCUGCAUGGCUGUCGUCAGCUCGUGUCGUGAGAUGUCGGGUUAAGUCCUAUAACGAGCGAAACCCCUGCCGUUAGUUACCAUCGGGUCAUGCCGGGGACUCUAGCGGGACUGCCGGUGUUAAGCCGGAGGAAGGUGGGGAUGACGUCAAGUCCUCAUGGCCUUUAUGCCCAGGGCAUCACACGUGCUACAAUGGCGACUACAGAGCGACGCAAUACCGUGAGGUGGAGCCAAUCGCAAAAAGGUCGCCCCAGUUCAGAUUGUAGGCUGGCAACUCGCCUACAUGAAGGUGGAAUCGCUAGUAAUCGCGUAUCAGCCAUGACGCGGUGAAUGUGUUCCUGAGCCUUGCACACACCGCCCGU